CCUACGGGUGGCUGCAGUGAGGAAUAUUGGUCAAUGGGCGCGAGCCUGAACCAGCCAAGUCGCGUGAGGGAAGACGGUGCAGUGCAUUGUAGACCUCUUUUGUCGGGGGGCAAAAGACGCCACGCGUCGCGUUCCGAGGGUACCCGGAGAAAAAGCAUCGGCUAACUCCGUGCCAGCAGCCGCGGUAAUACGGAGGAUGCGAGCGUUAUCCGGAUUUAUUGGGUUUAAAGGGUGCGCAGGCGGAAGAUCAAGUCAGCGGUAAAAUUGAGGGGCUCAACCGCGUCGAGCCGUUGAAACUGGGUGUCUUGAGUGAGCGAGAGGUAUGCGGAAUGCGUGGUGUAGCGGUGAAAUGCAUAGAUAUCGCGCAGAACCCCGAUUGCGAAGGCAGCAUACCGGCGCUCCACUGACGCUGAGGCACGAAAGUGUGGGGAUCGAACAGGAUUAGAUACCCUGGUAGUC
This 459-nucleotide ribosomal RNA is filed under the name uncultured bacterium. RNAcentral describes it as "partial 16S ribosomal RNA". It matches the Rfam family "Bacterial small subunit ribosomal RNA", at positions 338 to 795 of the family's 1533-position model. The record is from RNAcentral.